This 253-nucleotide ribosomal RNA is filed under the name uncultured bacterium. RNAcentral's name for it is "partial 16S ribosomal RNA". It matches the Rfam family "Bacterial small subunit ribosomal RNA", at positions 524 to 776 of the family's 1533-position model. The record is from RNAcentral.
UACGGAGGGUGCGAGCGUUGUUCGGAAUCACUGGGCGUAAAGCGCGUGUAGGCGGCCUUUUAAGUCUGAUGUGAAAGCCCGGGGCUCACCCCCGGAAGUGCAUUGGAAACUGGGAGGCUAGAGUACCGGAGAGGAAGGUGGAAUUCCUGGUGUAGCGGUGAAAUGCGUAGAUAUCAGGAGGAACACCGGUGGCGAAGGCGGUCUGCUGGGCAGUUUCUGACACUGAGGCGCGACAGCGUGGGGAGCAAACAGG